This 253-nucleotide ribosomal RNA is filed under the name uncultured bacterium. Its description in RNAcentral is "partial 16S ribosomal RNA". It matches the Rfam family "Bacterial small subunit ribosomal RNA", at positions 524 to 775 of the family's 1533-position model. The record is from RNAcentral.
UACGUAGGGUGCGAGCGUUUAAUCGGAAUUACUGGGCGUAAAGCGUGCGCAGGCGGCUUCGCAAGUCAGGCGUGAAAUCCCCGGGCUUAACCUGGGAAUGGCGUCUGAAACUACGGAGCUGGAGUGUGGCAGAGGGAGGUAGAAUUCCCGGUGUAGCGGUGAAAUGCGCAGAUAUCGGGAGGAACACCAAUGGCGAAGGCAGCUUGCUGGGACGGUACUGACGCUGAGGCGCGAAAGCGUGGGGAGCAAACAG